This 388-nucleotide ribosomal RNA is filed under the name uncultured bacterium. RNAcentral's name for it is "bacterial SSU rRNA". It matches the Rfam family "Bacterial small subunit ribosomal RNA", at positions 28 to 417 of the family's 1533-position model. The record is from RNAcentral.
GACGAACGCUGGCGGCGUGCUUAACACAUGCAAGUCGAGCGGUAAGGCCCUUUCGGGGGUACACGAGCGGCGAACGGGUGAGUAACACGUGGGUGACCUGCCCUCAGCUCUGGGAUAAGCCUGGGAAACCGGGUCUAAUACUGGAUAUGACUCCAUGACGCAUGUUGUGGGGUGGAAAGCCUUGUGCGGCUGAGGAUGGGCCCGCGGCCUAUCAGCUUGUUGGUGGGGUGANGGCCUACCAAGGCGACGACGGGUAGCCGGCCUGAGAGGGCGACCGGCCACACUGGGACUGAGACACGGCCCAGACUCUUACGGGAGGCAGCAGUGGGGAAUCUUGCGCAAUGGGCGAAAGCCUGACGCAGCGACGCCGCGUGAGGGAUGACGGCCU